This 253-nucleotide ribosomal RNA is filed under the name uncultured bacterium. RNAcentral describes it as "partial 16S ribosomal RNA". It matches the Rfam family "Bacterial small subunit ribosomal RNA", at positions 524 to 776 of the family's 1533-position model. The record is from RNAcentral.
GACGAACCGUGCGAACGUUGUUCGGAUUCACUGGGCUUAAAGGGCGCGUAGGCGGGCGGUCAAGUCGGGGGUGAAAUCUUUCAGCUUAACUGGAAAAGUGCCUCCGAUACUGAUCGCCUCGAGGGAGGUAGGGGCAUGUGGAACUUCCGGUGGAGCGGUGAAAUGCGCAGAUAUCGGGAGGAACACCAGUAGCGAAGGCGGCACUCUGGGCCGGUACUGACGCUGAGGAGCGAAAGCGUGGGGAGCAAACAGG